GAUAAAAUGCGGACGCGGACCGCGGACUGCGGACAGGAGAAACUGCGGACUUUCACCUGCGGACUGGCCCAAAAUUUUUGACAGCAGUCCGCAGUUUCUCCACAGGGUAGCUGUCCGCAGUCCGCGUAUUAUACGGGGAUACAGCAUUCCAUAUAGACAUGUCUAUGCGUUGGACAAGACAGAUCAACCUUAUUUUGGUCAUGCAUUGGCUGUUGUUCGAUAACUGUUGCUUUUUAAAAAUAUGUAUGCAUGCAACAAUUCCAAUGAAUAAAAAUAAAAAUGCGCACAGCUCUUAGCAGCUGACUAUUUUAUUUAUUUUUUUCCUAUAGGCCAAAUCCAUUAUAUUCUAUUUUCUUUUAUGCACAUUAAGAAUUUGAAUUAGACAACCGUAGCGCAGUUAAGUCGUCCUUCAGAAGGCGGCAAUGUGAUACCAAACUUUGCAAAGAAUGGUACCACAAGGAAUGCCUUCCAAAAGAACAGCAUUAUGCCUUUCAGGAGUUUUUAAAAACCCCUUGGAAAUACCCCAAAUCCUUUUAAGUUUAUUACAUGUUUUAUUUGCAUUGUUGUACCAAGAGUUUACCUAGUUAAGAAGUAACCAUGUUAUAUAAACUGUCCUUUACUUUCAUAUUUUGAAUAAUGCAUAUGUUGACUUUUAAAUACUAUUUUUAGUUUGAAAUUUAAUAUCAGAUAUGGGCAUGGAGUCCGCAGAUACCAGUCCACAGUUUAUCCUGUCUGGUCCGCACUUUCAAUCGCUCCAUGUACGAAACGGUCCGCAUUUUAUCCCUAAGUCCACGAAAAAUCUGUCAAAAAAUUUUGGGCCAGUCCGCAGGUGAAAGUCCGCAGUUUCUCCUGUCCGCAGUCCGCGGUCCGCGUCCGCAUUUUAUCCUGGCCCUUUUUUUUAUGUUUCAGGAUGUUACAUUUUUUUGCCAGUCUCCAGAUGACAAUAAUGAACAACACAGCUUA
Daphnia magna is the source of this 963-nucleotide long non-coding RNA. RefSeq lists it as uncharacterized. The record is from RefSeq and is a predicted model, not a curated record. NCBI's taxonomy places the organism in Eukaryota, Metazoa, Arthropoda, Branchiopoda, Diplostraca, Daphniidae. The transcript is spliced from 2 exons.